Molecule: ribosomal RNA, 492 nt
Filed under: uncultured bacterium
Lineage: Bacteria
Description: partial 16S ribosomal RNA
Rfam family: Bacterial small subunit ribosomal RNA
Source: RNAcentral
AGUGAACGCUGGCGGUAGGCCUAACACAUGCAAGUCGAACGGCAGCACAGUAAGAGCUUGCUCUUACGGGUGGCGAGUGGCGGACGGGUGAGGAAUACAUCGGAAUCUACUUUUUCGUGGGGGAUAACGUAGGGAAACUUACGCUAAUACCGCAUAUGACCUACGGGUGAAAGCAGGGGAUCUUCGGACCUUGCGCGAUUGAAUGAGCCGAUGUCGGAUUAGCUAGUUGGCGGGGUAAAGGCCCACCAAGGCGACGAUCCGUAGCUGGUCUGAGAGGAUGAUCAGCCACACUGGAACUGAGACACGGUCCAGACUCCUACGGGAGGCAGCAGUGGGGAAUAUUGGACAAUGGGCGCAAGCCUGAUCCAGCCAUGCCGCGUGGGUGAAGAAGGCCUUCGGGUUGUAAAGCCCUUUUGUUGGGAAAGAAAAGCAGCGGGUUAAUACCCCGCUGUUCUGACGGUACCCAAAGAGUAAGCACCGGCUAACUUCGUG